CGCGUAGGCGGGCCUACAAGUCGGAUGUGAAAUCUUCGGGCUCAACCCGGAGCCUGCAUCCGAAACUGUAAGUCUUGAGUAUAGGAGAGGAAAGCGGAAUUCAAGGUGUAGCGGUGGAAUGCGUAGAUAUCUUGAAGAACACCAGUAGCGAAGGCGGCUUUCUGGCCUAAUACUGACGCUAAAGCGCGAAGGCUAGGGUAGCAAACA
This 207-nucleotide ribosomal RNA is filed under the name uncultured bacterium. RNAcentral describes it as "partial 16S ribosomal RNA". It matches the Rfam family "Bacterial small subunit ribosomal RNA", at positions 568 to 774 of the family's 1533-position model. The record is from RNAcentral.